This 83-nucleotide small nucleolar RNA is filed under the name Anabas testudineus (climbing perch). RNAcentral's name for it is "Small nucleolar RNA SNORD60 (ENSATEG00000027341.1)". It matches the Rfam family "Small nucleolar RNA SNORD60". Rfam says of the family: U60 belongs to the C/D class of snoRNA which contain the C (UGAUGA) and D (CUGA) box motifs. The record is from Rfam by way of RNAcentral. Lineage: Eukaryota; Metazoa; Chordata; Actinopteri; Anabantiformes; Anabantidae.
AGCCAGUGAUGACAAACCUAAUUUCUUUCUGACACCUCAUAUGAGAGCUUCCAGCUCCUGAUUCAAACCUUUGUCUGAGGCUA